GGGCGGUCGUGCCGAUUCUCUCGCAACUGCGCAAACUCUGCCCCGGCUCUCCAGUCUCCUCCCAAAGGCUCCUCGCUCUAGUCAGGUUCCCUUGGAGCGCCUGUGUAUCCUGUGCUUUCUGUUCAUUCUACAGUAAACAUAAAAUUCUCUGCCUGGAGUUCAGAGCACAGCAAGGAAGAGAAGAAAAAGCCAGAACAGAAAAUCCACAAAGUAGUAAGUGGGAAAUGUUCAGUAACCUUUUAAUCCCCAAGCUUAGGACAAAUGUCCAGUGCUUCACGUACUGCUGGGACCCACAAAACUUGACUGGUGAGACUUCCUCUCAGUGACCUAGUAACCAGCCUGUGGUCUCAGAUUCAGGGACUCCUCAGACAGGUUUUCUGGAAGUCAUCCUAAAGUCAUCUUUUUCAUUAAACAAACAAAAAAAGAUGAUGAGAAAAGUAACAAAGCAACACUAAGGGCUCUGGCCCUUUGUGCUGGGGGAGUUACUUGCUGGUUCCUCCAUGCAUGGCGCUGUUGGUGGAAGCCUGGAGAAGGAGCAGGGUGGGGGCCCCAGGCCAAGUCUCUGAGCACAGGGCGUGGAUGACACUUUCCGCUGUUGUGGACCCGGUCUGUCAAUGAGAAAAGUGCCAUGCUCUGCCUGCUGCUCUCUACCAGCCCGACUUACAGGAGCCCUUGGGAGGAGGCUAUGGCAGAGGCUGUGUGAAUGAUCACAGACGACAGUUCAGUAAAACCCUCUAGUAACAGGCCCCUGCAGGAGGCUGUCCGGGACCAAAGCCGGCCACUCCACUCCGUGCUGGGUCUAAUGUUCAAAGCCAGGCACGGGAAGGUGGGAGCUUCUCAAGGGCAAGGGUGCUGUCUUUACGUGUCGCUGGUGUUUGCCACCAAACGCUUUGAAAAGCGCUCCCUCCAGGGACGAAGAAUCUGCUUUCUGGCCUAACCACCACUCUGCCCAAGCCCCGGGGGCUGCUCCCUGAGCCUCGGGGUUCCAGCGAGACUUGGAGCAGGUGUGACAGAGGGCGUGAGCCUCCUGAGGCGCCGCACACACACCUUCCUGGAAGAGCCCGCCAGAUGCCUGUGCUCCCAGGCCUCUCAGUGCUGCGCAGCCAGCACGCUGUGCGUCUCCUGACGGAGGUCACGAAGGAGACGUUUAUCUGUAUUUGUAUUCCUCCUCAAGGAUUCUGCUGUUGGCCUAAUGCUAUCAUUCCCUUGGGAAUUAGGUUCACUUAAGGAGGCAGUUAGCAUUCGGGCUGCUAUGGGACAUUGUCCUCCCUGAACUCAAAAACAGACAGCUCCUGAAAGCAACUGGAAAGUCUCCGAGAACACAGCCUUUUAAAAUAUAAAUGUAAUGUUUUAGUUAGAAAUCUCAACCUUUACCAAAAUGGUCUGAAUUGGUUGCUUGAAUAGAACUGAGUCCCCGCAGUCACCGACAGCCACGCGAGGCCUUGGGCCAGAUGCCGCCCCAGAGCGGACGGUCCCUGAGCCUUGGAGCCCUCAGUAAGGGAGCGGCUUUCUCCCCAGUCUCAGUCCAGAGGAUGUAGUGACUGUAAGAACGUGCACACCGAUUCAGUUCUGAGUAUCUGUGGGACUUGGAAAGUCCAGGGAAGUACAGGACCAUCCACCAAAAUCCCCCCCAGUCCCAGGACCAGAGACAGCCAGUGAUGCCCCGGCAAACAUCCAGCUCACAGGAGGAGGGCCCACGGCCCCAGGAGGCUCAGGCCGUGCAGCCUGCCAGGGCAGGGAGAAGAGACCCGCCCCGGGGGUGGACCUGGCCUCACUCCUGCUCCAUUUGCUGACUAUAGCUACUUAGAUAUAAA
This is a long non-coding RNA of Manis pentadactyla (Chinese pangolin), 1814 nucleotides long. RefSeq lists it as uncharacterized. The record is from RefSeq and is a predicted model, not a curated record. The transcript is spliced from 3 exons. NCBI's taxonomy places the organism in Eukaryota, Metazoa, Chordata, Mammalia, Pholidota, Manidae.